Molecule: ribosomal RNA, 510 nt
Filed under: uncultured bacterium
Lineage: Bacteria
Description: partial 16S ribosomal RNA
Rfam family: Bacterial small subunit ribosomal RNA
Source: RNAcentral
GACGAACGCUGGCGGCGUGCUUAACACAUGCAAGUCGAACGAAGAGCGAUGGAUGCUUGCUUCUAUCAAUCUUAGUGGCGUACGGGUGAGUAACGCGUAAUCAACCUGCCCUUCAGUGGGGGACAACAGUUGGAAACGACUGCUAAUACCGCAUACGAUCUAAUCUCGGCAUCGAGGAUAGAUGAAAGGUGGCCUCUACAUGUAAGCUAUCACUGAAGGAGGGGAUUGCGUCUGAUUAGCUAGUUGGAGGGGUAACGGCCCACCAAGGCGAUGAUCAGUAGACGGUCUGAGAGGAUGGACCGCCACAUUGGGACUGAGACACGGCCCAGACUCCUACGGGAGGCAGCAGUGGGGGAUCUUCCGCAAUGGACGGAAGUCUGACGGCGCAACGCCGCGUGAGUGAUGACGGCCUUCGGGUUGUAAAGCUCUGUUAAUCGGGACGAAAGGCCUUCUUGCGAAUAGUGAGAAGGAUUGACGGUACCGGAAGAGAAAGCCACGGCUAACUACGUG